GGUAGGGUAGCCGAAGCAGGCGGUGGGUUGUAGCCCCGAAGAUGGAGGUUUGAGUCCUCUUCCUACCA
RNAcentral lists this transfer RNA (68 nucleotides) under Paracanthocobitis urophthalma (banded mountain loach). Its description in RNAcentral is "tRNA-Tyr". It matches the Rfam family "tRNA". From Rfam's summary of the family: Transfer RNA (tRNA) molecules are approximately 80 nucleotides in length. Their secondary structure includes four short double-helical elements and three loops (D, anti-codon, and T loops). The record is from RNAcentral. Lineage: Eukaryota; Metazoa; Chordata; Actinopteri; Cypriniformes; Nemacheilidae.